This is a non-coding RNA of Odocoileus virginianus texanus, 609 nucleotides long. The record is from RefSeq and is a predicted model, not a curated record. NCBI's taxonomy places the organism in Eukaryota, Metazoa, Chordata, Mammalia, Artiodactyla, Cervidae.
CUCAGGCCCAGGCGGGACCCCGCAGUGCCCCGUUCUGGCUUGGACCUUAGCACUGGGAAGGUGGGUGCGGUGUUCCCAGUUCGGCUCAGGCAGGCUCCAGCGCAGGUGGAGCUGAGAUCCGUUAGGAGCAGUGGCUUGGUCCGUGUGGGGUGCGAAUACCCGGCCUGGAUCUGAAGAACGCUGGGUGGACAGCGGCGGUCACGGUGAGCGGAAGGUGUGCUGGGCAGUCUUGCUCCGGAACGAGAGACCUGGUCAGUUCCCGCUGUGCCACAUGUACUGUGGGCGGGAGAACUAACGUGGAGCAGAGUCAGCUGAAUCAUCACUGUCCUCUGCACUCUCCCAAGACCCACUGAAAAUGAACAUAUCUGAGAUUGAUGAGAAGUGUGCCUUCACAGACAUCAGUGUCAUUCAAGGACGUGAGUGUGGCGUUUACCCUGGAGGAGUGGCAGCAUGUGAACCCUGCUCAGAGGACCCUGUACAGAGCUGUGAUGCUGGAGAACCAUAGCCACCUUGUCCUACUGGGGAGCCUACUUUAUCAUGCGACUCCACCUAGAGUGCAUUUGAUUUGCUGUCUCUUCUUUUUUAAAUAAAUCACCUAUAUUGAGGUAU